Non-coding RNA from Arachis ipaensis, 557 nucleotides. The record is from RefSeq and is a predicted model, not a curated record. Lineage: Eukaryota; Viridiplantae; Streptophyta; Magnoliopsida; Fabales; Fabaceae.
AUUCAGCUUCUUAAUCCUAUGCUAUAUAAACACCAUUCAUGAAUUUGCCUCAUCAAAAAAUUGUGAACGCUAAGAGAACAAAGAAAACUUAUUAACCAGAGAAGAAAACAAUGAGUUCAGAAGAUUGCCUUGGUUGGGCUGCAAGAGAUGCAUCUGGACAUCUCUCCCCAUACAAAUUCAAUCGCAGCAGAGAUAGACUGCCUCAAUUGGAUAUACAUUCGGCGGCAGCAUGUUCGAGAUAAAUGAAGUGAAGGGUGGCAGUUCGUACGGUGCCCGAACUUAUGCUGGUGGUGAUAGAUCAAGACAACCAACUAAACUUGAGUUGGAGCAAGCAUUAUAUUGCCACCAUCACUAAGAAGCUCAAGAAAGAAUGAAACUAUCCAUAAAUUAGGAUAUUGAAUCUUGAUGAGUCCACUAGUAGUUACUUGUCAUCUAAUGUAUUCGGUUUGUAUUAUGGCAUGGAAAUAAUUGCUUCUUAUUAUAAAGAAAGCACUUUGUACUCACUGGUGUGUUUUUCUAUUUGUACCAUCAAUAAAAAUUUGUAUUUAUUAAAUUUA